Camelina sativa (false flax) is the source of this 495-nucleotide non-coding RNA. NCBI's taxonomy places the organism in Eukaryota, Viridiplantae, Streptophyta, Magnoliopsida, Brassicales, Brassicaceae. The record is from RefSeq and is a predicted model, not a curated record.
UUCUUUUCUUGAAACGACUAAAACUCUGCUUUUUCUUUUUUUUUGCAUUUCCUAAUCUGUUCUUCCGCGUACGUUCAAGACUUCAAGUCAAAACCUUUUAUAGUAGUUCUCACAUCCUCAGAGAGAGACAAGCAUAGUCAUAGAGGCAUCAUCACCGUAGAAGAUGGCGGUUAAACGAGAGAAGCUUGUUUCGUUUGUGUAAGUCGUCGUCUAUGGUUUUCAUCAUUCGGCUUAAUUGGUGCUGGAGAGACUAAAUUAAAUCUCUAUGUAUAAUAGAUGUAUGUUAGGAUAUAAAUGAGAAUGAAUGACGUAGAGAGUUAUGUUCGUAUUAAUUAGAUGUAGGGGAUGUAUGUAUAGGGUAAGGAUGAGAAUGAAUGACGUAUGUGUAUAGAUGAUACACAUAGGGUCUUUACUUUUUUACUCUUAGAUGGAUGUAUAGGAUUACUAUUAGAUGUAUGUAUAGGGAGUGGAUGAAAAGUGAAUGAUGUAUGUAAA